UGGGGAAUUUUGGACAAUGGGCGCAAGCCUGAUCCAGCGACGCCGCGUGGAGGACGAAGGCCUUCGGGUUGUAAACUCCUUUUGGAGGGGAAGAAUAAAUUGACGGUACCCUCAGAAAAAGCCACGGCUAACUACGUGCCAGCAGCCGCGGUAAUACGUAGGUGGCGAGCGUUACUCGGAAUUACUAGGCGUAAAGCGUAUGUAGGUGGUUAGAUAAGUCUAUGGUGAAAUUUCCUGGCUUAACUGGGAAGGGACAUAGAUACUAUCUGGCUUGAGUGUGGGAGGGGGAGACGGAAUUCCUGGUGUAGCGGUGAAAUGCGUAGAUAUCAGGAGGAACACCGAUGGCGAAAGCAGUCUCCUGGCCCAAUACUGACACUGAGGUACGAAAGCUAGGGUAGCAAACA
This 404-nucleotide ribosomal RNA is filed under the name uncultured bacterium. RNAcentral's name for it is "bacterial SSU rRNA". It matches the Rfam family "Bacterial small subunit ribosomal RNA", at positions 355 to 774 of the family's 1533-position model. The record is from RNAcentral.